Molecule: ribosomal RNA, 713 nt
Filed under: uncultured Thermoprotei archaeon
Lineage: Archaea; Thermoproteati; Thermoproteota; Thermoprotei
Description: bacterial SSU rRNA
Rfam family: Archaeal small subunit ribosomal RNA
Source: RNAcentral
UUCCGGUUGAUCCCGCCAGACCCGACUGCUAUCGGAUUGAGACUAAGCCAUGCGAGUCAACCCGCAAGGGUGGCGGACGGCUCAGUAACACGUAGUGAACCUGCCCUGGGGACGUGGACAACCAUGGGAAACUGUGGCUAAACCGCGAUAGGUCAUUGUUUCUGGAAUGGGCAAUGGCUCAAACCUACAUGGCCCCAGGAUGGCACUGCGGCCGAUCAGGUUGUUGGUGAGGUAAUGGCCCACCAAGCCUGUAACCGGUACGGGCUCUGAGAGGAGGAGCCUGGAGAUGGGCACUGAGACAAGGGCCCAGGUCCUAUGGGACGCAGCAGGCGCGAAACCUUCGCAAUAGGCGAAAGCCUGACGAGGUUAUUCCGAGUGUUCCCUGCUAAAGGGAUCUUUUGCCAGCUCUAAAAAUGCUGGUGAAUAAGGGGUGGGCAAGCCUGGUGUCAGCCGCCGCGGUAAUACCAGCACCCCGAGUGGUCGGGAUGAUUAUUUGGCCUAAAGCAUCCGUAGCCGGCGCAUCAAGUCUUCCGUUAAAUCCACCUGCUCAACAGGUGGGCUGCGGGAGAUACUGCUGCGCUAGGAGGCGGGAGAGGCGAGGGGUAUUCCAUGGGUAGGGGUAAAAUCCUCUGAUCCAUGGAGGACCACCAGUGGCGAAGGCGUCUCGCCAGAACGCGCUCGACGGUGAGGGAUGAAAAGCUGGGGGAGCACAC